UGAGUACGAGAUGCUACGGCAUCGAAGCAGUCUAUGUCAUACUUCCAAGAAAAGCUUGCACUGUCAUAAACAAAGAGUGCCUGUACCAUAACCGACACAGGUGGGUAGGUAGAGUAUACUAAGGGGCGCGAGAUAACUCUCUCUAAGGAACUCGGCAAAAUGACUCCGUAACUUCGGGAGAAGGAGUGCCUUAUUUAUAAGGUUGCAAUAACAAGAUCCAAGCAACUGUUUACCAAAAACACAGGUCUCCGCGAAGUCGUAAGACGAUGUAUGGGGGCUGACGCCUGCCCAGUGCCAGAAGGUUAAAGAAGUUGGUUAGCAUUCGCGAAGCUGAUAACUGAAGCCCUGGUGAACGGCGGCCGUAACUAUAACGGUCCUAAGGUAGCGAAAUUCCUUGUCGGGUAAGUUCCGACCCGCACGAAAGGCGUAAUGAUUUGGAUACUGUCUCGGAGAGGGGCUCGGUGAAAUAGACUUGUCUGUGAAGAUGCGGACUACCUGCACCUGGACAGAAAGACCCUAUGAAGCUUUACUGUAACUUGAAAUUGAAAUUGGACUUUAUUUGCGCAGUAUAGGUGGGAGGCGUUGAGAAUAACCUUGAGGGGUUAUUGGAGCCAUCAGUGAGAUACCACUCUUGUAAUGUUAGAUUUCUAACUUUGUAUCAUUAUCUGGUCAAAGAACAGUUUCAGGCGGGCAGUUUGACUGGGGCGGUCGCCUCCCAAACGGUAACGGAGGCGCACAAAGGUUUCCUCUGAACGGGUAGAAAUCGUAUCUAGAGUGUAAAGGCAUAAGGAAGCUUGACUGUGAGACCUACAAGUCGAGCAGUGACGAAAGUCGUCUUAGUGAUCUGACGGUGCUGAGUGGAAAGGCCGUCACUCAACGGAUAAAAGUUACUCUAAGGAUAACAGGCUGAUCUCCCCCAAGAGUUCACAUCGACGGGGAGGUUUGGCACCUCGAUGUCGGCUCAUCGCAUCCUGGGGCGGUAGUACGUCCCAAGGGUUGGGCUGUUCGCCCAUGAAAGCGGUACGCGAGCUGGGUUCAGAACGUCGUGAGACAGUUCGGUCCAUAUCCGGUGUAGGCGUUAGAAUAUUGAGAGGAGCCUUCUCUAGUACGAGAGGACCGAGAAGGACAUACCUCUGGUGUACCAGUUAUCGUGCCAACGGUAAACGCUGGGUAGCUAUGUGUGGAGUGGAUAACCGCUGAAAGCAUCUAAGUGGGAAGCCCACCUCAAGAUAAGUAUUCUCA
Molecule: ribosomal RNA, 1242 nt
Filed under: metagenome
Description: bacterial LSU rRNA
Rfam family: Bacterial large subunit ribosomal RNA
Source: RNAcentral